CCCUUAGAUGUUCUGGGCCGCACGCGCGCUACACUGACGGAGGCAGCGAGCAUGUCCUUCGCCGAGAGGUGUGGGGAAUCUUGUGAGUCUCCGUCGUGCUGGGGAUAGAUGGUUGCAAUUGUCGAUCUUGAACGAGGAAUUCCUAGUAAGCGCGAGUCAUCAGCUCGCGCUGAUUACGUCCCUGCCCUUUGUACACACCGCCCGUCGCUACUACCGAUUGGAUGGCUUAGUGAGACCCUCGGACCGAUAGGCUGUCGCCGCGGCAACGUGGCGACCGGCCCGUCGGGAAGAAGGUCAAACUUGACUGUCUAGAGGAAGUAAAAGUCGUAACA
RNAcentral lists this ribosomal RNA (332 nucleotides) under uncultured eukaryote. RNAcentral describes it as "partial 18S ribosomal RNA". It matches the Rfam family "Eukaryotic small subunit ribosomal RNA", at positions 1470 to 1796 of the family's 1831-position model. The record is from RNAcentral.